Long non-coding RNA from Ipomoea nil (Japanese morning glory), 341 nucleotides. RefSeq lists it as uncharacterized. The transcript is spliced from 3 exons. The record is from RefSeq and is a predicted model, not a curated record. Lineage: Eukaryota; Viridiplantae; Streptophyta; Magnoliopsida; Solanales; Convolvulaceae.
CAUAAGACUCCUUUCAGCACAAGCCUACUAGACAGAUGAACAGAGCCAAAGUGUGUGAUUGCAGCCUUAUUUCCAUUUGGAACAAAAUUUGCUGCUAUAAUGUUGGCCUGAGGGGUUGUUCCAUUGCAUCCAAUGUCCAGAGGAGUACUUCUUUCCCUUUUCAUGUAUUCAAGAAAUUCAAGGGUUGUUGAACCCAAUUGAGAACUGUCUUUCCUGUUGAGAGAUCAUGGAGAAAGCUUCACCUGCAUCUGGCAAGGGUCUCAUCAACAUAAUCUGAUUCCUUGCUCCAGUAUACUUCUCAUCCAAUCCAAUGAGGAAGGCACAUAACAUGUCAUUAUCAA